CCAAUGGAUGAAGAAGAUCUGGUGGCUUAUAUACAAAAUGGUUUAGAUGAUGAUUUUGAACUUGUCGUUUCCGUAUUGGUGGCAAGGGUGAAACCCAUCACCAUGACGGAUCUAUACUCUCAGCUGUUAAAUUUUGAGA
Molecule: small nucleolar RNA, 139 nt
Organism: Dioscorea cayenensis subsp. rotundata (Guinea yam)
Lineage: Eukaryota; Viridiplantae; Streptophyta; Magnoliopsida; Dioscoreales; Dioscoreaceae
Product: small nucleolar RNA Z247
Exons: 1
Source: RefSeq, a predicted model, not a curated record